GAUAGAAUUUAGCAAAGGUCCGACAGAUUACUGAAAUAUCAGAUUUAUUUCAUCUUACCCUCAUUGUACAAAUAUGAGCAUUUUUAUUGUAGAAUGCGCCGCCGAAGUCCAGCCGAUGGCCGAGGAACAUAUGCCAAUGCCCUCUACCGUACAGCGAACUGAAAAUACAAGAAUAAUUAACUAUUCUACUCAUCAAGUAGAUUCCCCACGUCGCAACGGUCGACUUUUAGGUUCUGAAGCACUACUUCGAGGUCCGGACCCAUUUUUCAAAUAAAUUUCUUCCCGACAAAUCUACGCGCAUUAAACAAAUUGACAACAA
This is a long non-coding RNA of Wyeomyia smithii (pitcher-plant mosquito), 319 nucleotides long. RefSeq lists it as uncharacterized. The transcript has 2 exons. NCBI's taxonomy places the organism in Eukaryota, Metazoa, Arthropoda, Insecta, Diptera, Culicidae. The record is from RefSeq and is a predicted model, not a curated record.